This 185-nucleotide unclassified non-coding RNA is filed under the name soil metagenome. RNAcentral describes it as "partial contains small subunit ribosomal RNA, internal transcribed spacer 1, and 5.8S ribosomal RNA". The record is from RNAcentral.
UCUCCGUAGGUGAACCUGCGGAGGGAUCAUUAUUGAAUGGGCCCCUCGGGCCCUUCUACCCCUAAAACCUGUGGAAGCUAUCUGUGCUUCGGCGCCCUUCUGGCGCCGCCUUUAUGCUGGAAUCUGCUUUGUGUCUGAAUAUUAAACGGAAUUGAAAACUUUCAACAAAGGAUCUCUUGGCUCUC